CUCCGCCGGCGACCGGCGCACGGGUGAGUAACACGUAUGCAACCUGCCCCUGUCAGGGGGACAACCCGCCGAAAGGCGGGCUAAACCCGCGUACAUGCCACCGGGGCAUCCCGGAGGCAGGAAAGGCUUCGGCCGGACAGGGAUGGGCAUGCGGCGCAUUAGGCAGUAGGCGGGGUAACGGCCCACCUAACCGACGAUGCGUAGGGGUUCUGAGAGGAAGGUCCCCCACACUGGUACUGAGACACGGCCCAGACUCCUACGGAAGGCAGCAG
This 272-nucleotide ribosomal RNA is filed under the name uncultured bacterium. RNAcentral's name for it is "partial 16S ribosomal RNA". It matches the Rfam family "Bacterial small subunit ribosomal RNA", at positions 83 to 354 of the family's 1533-position model. The record is from RNAcentral.